GCCUACGGGAGGCAGCAGUAGGGAAUUUUCGUCAAUGGGCGCAAGCCUGAACGAGCGAUGCCGCGUGAGUGAAGAAGGCCUUCGGAUCGUAAAACCCUGUUGUUAGAGAAGAAAGUGCGUGAGAGUAACUGUUCACGUUUCGACGGUAUCUAACCAGAAAGCCACGGCUAACUACGUGCCAGCAGCCGCGGUAAUACGUAGGUGGCAAGCGUUAUCCGGAUUUAUUGGGCGUAAAGGGAACGCAGGCGGUCUUUUAAGUCUGAUGUGAAAGCCUUCGGCUUAACCGGAGUAGUGCAUUGGAAACU
Molecule: ribosomal RNA, 305 nt
Filed under: uncultured bacterium
Lineage: Bacteria
Description: bacterial SSU rRNA
Rfam family: Bacterial small subunit ribosomal RNA
Source: RNAcentral